GCUUAUGGCCAUACCAGCCUGGCUAUGCCCGAUCUCGUCUGAUCUCGGAAGCUAGGCAGGUUUGGGACUGGUUAGUACUUGGAUGGGAGACCGCCUGGGAAUACCAGGUGCUGUAAACU
Molecule: ribosomal RNA, 119 nt
Organism: Carassius auratus (goldfish)
Lineage: Eukaryota; Metazoa; Chordata; Actinopteri; Cypriniformes; Cyprinidae
Source: Ensembl